GCGGUGGAGCAUGUGGUUUAAUUCGAAGCAACGCGAAGAACCUUACCAGGCCUUGACAUGCAGAGAACUUUCCAGAGAUGGAUUGGUGCCUUCGGGAACUCUGACACAGGUGCUGCAUGGCUGUCGUCAGCUCGUGUCGUGAGAUGUUGGGUUAAGUCCCGUAACGAGCGCAACCCUUGCCUUUAGUUGCCAGCAGUUCGGCUGGGCACUCUAAAGGGACUGCCGGUGUUAAACCGGAGGAAGGUGGGGAUGACGUCAAGUCCUCAUGGCCUUUAUGACCAGGGCUACACACGUACUACAAUGGCCGAUACAAAGGGCAGCGACACUGCGAGGUGAAGCCAAUCCCGUAAAAUCGGUCUCAGUCCGGAUUGGAGUCUGCAACUCGACUCCAUGAAGUUGGAAUCGCUAGUAAUCGUGGAUCAGCAUGCCACGGUGAAUACGUUCCCGGGCCUU
RNAcentral lists this ribosomal RNA (453 nucleotides) under uncultured Desulfobulbus sp. RNAcentral's name for it is "bacterial SSU rRNA". It matches the Rfam family "Bacterial small subunit ribosomal RNA", at positions 929 to 1382 of the family's 1533-position model. The record is from RNAcentral. Lineage: Bacteria; Pseudomonadati; Thermodesulfobacteriota; Desulfobulbia; Desulfobulbales; Desulfobulbaceae.